RNAcentral lists this long non-coding RNA (859 nucleotides) under Musa acuminata (dwarf banana). Its description in RNAcentral is "long non-coding RNA (MACU_LNC002157)". The record is from RNAcentral. Lineage: Eukaryota; Viridiplantae; Streptophyta; Magnoliopsida; Zingiberales; Musaceae.
UUUGAUCGAACUCUAAGCAACUGAAAUUAAUAACCAAGGAAAAGCCUAUUUACAAUCCAAAUGAAGACCUCUCGGUCUCUGAUAGACUAGGAUUAGAAUCGAGUACUUGAUGCUGCAGGCUCAGAGCGUGAGCAUGGAGAUGGCGGUCAACAUCUCGUCGCUGGGCGCGAGCAGCCUCAGCCGCUGCCGAUCCCCGGUGGCCCGGUCGUGGAGCAAGCGGAGGGCCCUCUCCCACCGGCCGUGCCGCCGGUGCAUGGCGCUGGCGGUGGCGUCGACGACGAAGACGCGGCCGAGGCGGAAGGCGAAGAGGCGGAGGGAGACCGCCAGGUCGGUGCAGGAGUUGGGGAGCCGGGCGGCGACGAAGGGGAGCUUCAGGGCGAAGGGGCAGAGGAGGGAGGCCAGGAUCUGGAAGCUGCUGUGGCCUCCGGCGAGGAGCUUGAGCUUGCCGACGAUGAGCAGGUGGACUCCCAUUGAUGGCCGCAGACCUCCCACUAUCCUCCUUCGUUGGGCUCGCAGUGUCACCACUCCCUUCUUGCUUAUCUGCUUCUAAUAGUGGAGGGGAAGAAAGCUGUGACAACUUGACGUCAACAUCAGAGUUGCCAUGUCGACAGGAGGAGAAGUAACAUUGGAGGAUAAUAUAUGUGAACGGACCAUAUAGCCCUUACCGACGCAUCAGGUAAAUGAGAAAGAUGAGUUGCUAUCAGCCGUACCUCGAUCUUCUCGCUCGUAGGUGCUGAAGCGGAUAAAAUGACAUGAUUUCUUCCCGUCAAUAUGGUUCAAGACAUAACUAGUAGAUCACAUAUGAUGAGAUUUGGCACUUAAUUGGAAGAACCUAUAGAUCGCAUGCUUAAUUCAAAGG